GCUUACGGCCAUACCACCCUGAACACGCCCGAUCUCGUCCGAUCUCGGAAGCUAAGCGGGAUCGGGCCUGGUUAGUACUUGGAUGGGAGACCGCCUGGGAAUACCAGGUGCUGUAAGCU
This 119-nucleotide ribosomal RNA is filed under the name Electrophorus electricus (electric eel). The record is from RNAcentral. Lineage: Eukaryota; Metazoa; Chordata; Actinopteri; Gymnotiformes; Gymnotidae.